AAAACCUUUAAAGCAGUCCAGAGAGGCAGCUAAGGUUAGACGGUGAAAGGGUGGAGACUACCCAUUUUUCGUGGAACCUUGCUGUUGGCAGGUUCCUUUUUUCGU
Streptococcus pneumoniae SP6-BS73 is the source of this 105-nucleotide non-coding RNA. The record is from Rfam. NCBI's taxonomy places the organism in Bacteria, Bacillati, Bacillota, Bacilli, Lactobacillales, Streptococcaceae.